This 482-nucleotide ribosomal RNA is filed under the name uncultured bacterium. RNAcentral's name for it is "partial 16S ribosomal RNA". It matches the Rfam family "Bacterial small subunit ribosomal RNA", at positions 30 to 507 of the family's 1533-position model. The record is from RNAcentral.
AUUGAACGCUGGCGGCAUGCCUUACACAUGCAAGUCGAACGGUAACAGGUCUUCGGAUGCUGACGAGUGGCGCACGGGUGAGUAAUACAUCGGAACGUGCCCGAUCGUGGGGGAUAACGAGGCGAAAGCUUUGCUAAUACCGCAUACGAUCUACGGAUGAAAGCGGUGGAUCUUCGGACCUCGCGCGGACGGAGCGGCCGAUGGCAGAUUAGGUAGUUGGUGGGAUAAAAGCUUACCAAGCCGACGAUCUGUAGCUGGUCUGAGAGGAUGAUCAGCCACACUGGGACUGAGACACGGCCCAGACUCCUACGGGAGGCAGCAGUGGGGAAUUUUGGACAAUGGGCGAAAGCCUGAUCCAGCCAUGCCGCGUGCAGGAUGAAGGCCUUCGGGUUGUAAACUGCUUUUGUACGGAACGAAAAGCCUCUUUCUAAUAAAGAGGGGUCAUGACGGUACCGUAAGAAUAAGCACCGGCUAACUACGUG